Molecule: ribosomal RNA, 539 nt
Filed under: uncultured bacterium
Lineage: Bacteria
Description: bacterial SSU rRNA
Rfam family: Bacterial small subunit ribosomal RNA
Source: RNAcentral
AAUAGAUACCCGGGUAGUCCACGCCGUAAACGAUGAGUGCUAAGUGUUAGAGGGUUUCCGCCCUUUAGUGCUGCAGCAAACGCAUUAAGCACUCCGCCUGGGGAGUACGGUCGCAAGACUGAAACUCAAAGGAAUUGACGGGGGCCCGCACAAGCGGUGGAGCAUGUGGUUUAAUUCGAAGCAACGCGAAGAACCUUACCAGGUCUUGACAUCCCGUGACAACUCUAGAGAUAGAGCUUUCCCCUUCGGGGGACACGGUGACAGGUGGUGCAUGGUUGUCGUCAGCUCGUGUCGUGAGAUGUUGGGUUAAGUCCCGCAACGAGCGCAACCCUUGAUCUUAGUUGCCAGCAUUAAGUUGGGCACUCUAAGGUGACUGCCGGUGACAAACCGGAGGAAGGUGGGGAUGACGUCAAAUCAUCAUGCCCCUUAUGACCUGGGCUACACACGUGCUACAAUGGAUGGUACAAAGGGCAGCAAAACCGCGAGGUUAAGCCAAUCCCAUAAAACCAUUCUCAGUUCGGAUUGCAGGCUGCAACUCG